GACGAACGCUGGCGGCGCGCUUAACACAUGCAAGUCGAACGGAAAGGCCCUGCUUUUGUGGGGUGCUCGAGUGGCGAACGGGUGAGUAACACGUGAGUAACCUGCCCUUGACUUUGGGAUAACUUCAGGAAACUGGGGCUAAUACCGGAUAGGAGCUCCUGCUGCAUGGUGGGGGUUGGAAAGUUUCGGCGGUUGGGGAUGGACUCGCGGCUUAUCAGCUUGUUGGUGGGGUAGUGGCUUACCAAGGCUUUGACGGGUAGCCGGCCUGAGAGGGUGACCGGCCACAUUGGGACUGAGAGACGGCCCAGACUCCUACGGGAGGCAGCAGUGGGGAAUAUUGCACAAUGGGCGGAAGCCGGAUGCAGCAACGCCGCGUGCGGGAUGACGGCCUUCGGGGUGUAAACCGCUUUCGCCUGUGACGAAGCGUGAGUGACGGUAAUGGGUAAAGAAGCACCGGCUAACUACGUG
This 468-nucleotide ribosomal RNA is filed under the name uncultured bacterium. RNAcentral describes it as "partial 16S ribosomal RNA". It matches the Rfam family "Bacterial small subunit ribosomal RNA", at positions 28 to 507 of the family's 1533-position model. The record is from RNAcentral.